RNAcentral lists this ribosomal RNA (478 nucleotides) under uncultured bacterium. RNAcentral describes it as "partial 16S ribosomal RNA". It matches the Rfam family "Bacterial small subunit ribosomal RNA", at positions 28 to 507 of the family's 1533-position model. The record is from RNAcentral.
GAUGAACGCUGGCGGCGUGCUUAACACAUGCAAGUCGAACGAGAAGUUUAGACGGAAACCUUCGGGCGGAAGACUUUAUUUCGAGUGGCUGCCGUGUGAUUAACGCUUGGAUAACCUGCCUCAUACUGGGGGCUAACAGUUGGAAACGACUGUUAAUACCGCAUAAGACCACAGCACCGCAUGCGGCGGGGCUAAAAAAUCCGGUGGAAUGAGAUGGACCCGCGUUGGAUUAGCCAGUUGGCGGGGUAACGGCCCACCAAAGCGACGAUCGAUAGCCGAUCUGAGAGGAUGACCGGCCACAUUGGGACUGAGACACGGCCCAAACUCCUACGGGAGGCAGCAGUGGGGAAUAUUGCACAAUGGGGGAAAGCCUGAUGCAGCGACGCCGCGUGAGUGAAGAAGUAUUUAGGUAUUUAAAGCUCUAUCAGCAGGGAAGAAAAUGACGGUACCUGAGUAAGAAGCCCCGGCUAACUACGUG